This 1080-nucleotide long non-coding RNA is filed under the name Oreochromis niloticus (Nile tilapia). RNAcentral's name for it is "lncRNA (ENSONIG00000030885.1)". The record is from RNAcentral. Lineage: Eukaryota; Metazoa; Chordata; Actinopteri; Cichliformes; Cichlidae.
CGAGGUGGUUUCCUUCCAAUUGAAGCAGGACCAGUACGUCUGCCAGCUCCAGAUAGAGCUCCCGUGACCAGGAAGACCUCAGCAUUCGCCAAUUCCUGCUGAAUUACCGCAAACAGAAAGAACUGACAGAGGGCAUUGGAAUAGAGGAUGAUUAUAACACUGAAGACCGAGAGGUCCUUCCCCUUGAGUGUAAGGAUGUGUAAGAUAUUGAUAGUCCUGAUGUGAAAGCAGAGCUUCCCUCCCACCUCAGCAUCACUAAGGAUGUUAUGGAGCGCUGCAUUCAUCUGCUGUCUGAUCCCAGCCUCAGGCUCCGACUCAAGGUAGUUUUAUGUAGAGUCAACUGUUGGACUAGUAACAAAAAUAAUCAUUCUUGUGAGGGUAGGACCGCCAGCGUUGGUACAAUUCAUCCUGUCAGAACUGUGUGGAUGACUGUUCACUGGUGUAAUGCUCAUCAAGGAAAAGCAUUCAGUCUGGUCCAGGAGUGAAACAGAAAUAAGUCUGUGCUGAAGUCGUGCCUGCUCAGGAGUUUGGGCUCUCAAUGAAGACCUCGAUAAUUAGUUUCAGCUCACAUAUAAUCAGGAUCAAAACAGAGAUAAUUGUUAGGUGUGUUGUGCGUCUUUGUCUCUAGGUACGGACGUGCUGGAGUUGUGCCUUCAGGUGCUGAGUGAGAGGGAAAAUGAACUGCUGCCUAUGGCUCAUCGCUGCUGGCCAGCACUCCUGCAGACACUCACAGCCGAUGACCCAUUAGCAGUCCUCAGAGCCUUCAGGGGCUGCCGUGCAGGUCACCUACAGCUCCACCAGUCACACGUCUGUACGAUCAGGGGAGCCCACUGGAGACAAGUCCACAGGAAGCAUGUGGAAGAUGAUUCUGGUGCUGCUGCCUUUAGCUGUGUUAUCAGCUGUGUGCUACUACGCCUACGCCUACAUCGUGUGAUGAACAGUGGAAGGAUUGUUCCAUCGAUGUCACAUCGAGAUUCUUUUUUUGUGCUUCACCACUUUUUACUUGGACUCUGCUACAGUAGCUUCACAUUCUGCUGUCCAACUUUAAAGCCAAAGCUUCUAGUGACCAGCCAGUUUUGA